UACGUAGGGACCGAGCGUUGUCCGGAAUCAUUGGGCGUAAAGAGCGUGUAGGCGGCUAUUUAAGUCCUGCGUGAAAUCCUGCGGCUCAACCGCAGACGGUCGUGGGAAACUGGAUGGCUAGAGUGCGGGAGAGGAGAGUGGAAUUCCCGGUGUAGCGGUGAAAAUGCGUAGAUAUCGGGGAGGAACACCUGUGGCGAAAGCGGCGCACUGGACCACAACUGACGCUGAGGCGCGAAAAGCUAGGGGAGCAAACAGG
This 256-nucleotide ribosomal RNA is filed under the name uncultured bacterium. RNAcentral describes it as "partial 16S ribosomal RNA". It matches the Rfam family "Bacterial small subunit ribosomal RNA", at positions 524 to 776 of the family's 1533-position model. The record is from RNAcentral.